CUUUUUCAAAAAUUCAAGUUUCUUUUCAGAUUUCAAUUUCUUUUGUUCUUCAAUUCUUUUCGUCAACUAUGAGCUAUGACCAUAUUUUCCCUAUGACAGGAUCAUAAUACCGCGUAUCUGCUUGCGGUAGGCUGCAAAUCAUCUGGCAGCCAUGUCCUUUGGAACCGCUGGUCUCGCUGGCGGUUUGUCGCUGGUCUCUCUGGCGACAUGUCGCUGGUCUCGCUGACGACAUAAACCCUCAGG
Molecule: long non-coding RNA, 243 nt
Filed under: Elaeis guineensis (African oil palm)
Lineage: Eukaryota; Viridiplantae; Streptophyta; Magnoliopsida; Arecales; Arecaceae
Description: long non-coding RNA (EGUI_LNC076096)
Source: RNAcentral